UCCCUAGAUGUUCUGGGCCGCACGCGCGCUACACUGAACAGUUCAACAAGUCUUAACCUUGGCCGAUAGGUCUGGGUAAUCUUUGAACGCUGUUCGUGAUUGGGAUAGACCUUUGCAAUUAUGGGUCUUCAACGAGGAAUUCCUAGUAAACGCAAGUCAUCAGCUUGCAUUGAUUACGUCCCUGCCCUUUGUACACACCGCCCGUCGCACCUACCGAUUGAAUGGUCCGGUGAAAUCUCGGGACGGCGGCUUGGUCGCUUGCGUCCGACUGCUGAAACUUGAUUAAACCAUNUNAUUUAUNGGAAGGUGAANUCGUANCA
This 320-nucleotide ribosomal RNA is filed under the name uncultured eukaryote. RNAcentral describes it as "partial 18S ribosomal RNA". It matches the Rfam family "Eukaryotic small subunit ribosomal RNA", at positions 1470 to 1796 of the family's 1831-position model. The record is from RNAcentral.